CGAGUCCCGGACCCGGGGGACCGGAAACGCGGCGGCGGGCGGGGAGCGGCGGGCGAGCCGGGUCAGCUGACCGGGCCGGCGGGCGGGGGUCGCGGGCUCCGGGCAGCCCGGCGCAGGGGCGGGAAGGCCACCCUUGCACGUGCUCGGCCGCCCGGUCCGUCAGGGACCGGAGCUGGGGCGGGGGAGGAGGGCCGAGCGCGCCGAGCACGGGGACGACGAGCAGACCUGUUUUGCAUCAAUAAAUUAAGAUGCUCAUUUGGGUCCUGAAGUUGGCCGGUUCCUGUCAGUGUAGACGCUGGCAAAAGCCCUGCAGCCGAGAUGCAUCCUUUACUUCAAAAAAGAAAAGAAAAGCAAGCCCUCAGCUGGCUGCCCUGCUGGGGCCAGGUGACGUGCGAGAUUCCACAGCCCGCGGGCCUCGCAGCGGGGAUGUGAAGGGCGGUCUGAGCCCGACUCUGAAUGGAUUGGAUUGCGAGUUUGCACGUGAGAAGACCGUUUGGCUUGACUUGGACCCCUGCCUUCCCCCACGCCCUCCACACACCCAGUCCAGGGGUCCCCUUAUCACCCUUUGCUUGCAACUCCAAAAGAAGUUGCCCACCUCCUCCCGCUCGGGCUGAAACAUCGAUUCCGUUUCAAAACGAGAAUGGAUUUCUUUUUUUAUUUUCUCCACAUGGUACAAAAUAAACAGAGUUUGCUGUUUUAAAAAAAAUCAUUAGCAGUGGCCAAAUUCGAAUUCCUUCUGCAGCCUGCGUGUUCAAGGGCAGAAGCAGUUACCUCUUCUGGCAUCUGGGCGGGCAGAGGAGUGAGGGGCUGGGGGAGGGGGUGCCUGCGAAAGUUGAGGAAAUUGACAGACUGAGGGGAGUGGGGGGCAGACACCGGGUCCUGGCUGCAGGGAACUGGAAAACAAAAGUGCACCCUUCUCGUCCUACUUGGGUGGAGGGAAUCCUCCUGGGGACAGCAGUUUGUUUUGCCCAAGGAAACCCUGAAGAAUUGUUUUUCCCCUUCAAAGUCGAUUGCAAUAUUAUUGCACAUUUGUAUGGAUCUAGUGUUUGAAUCCCCUUCGUCCUUGCUUAUCUCGAAGUGGAUUAUUCAGGGGGAAGACAGACAAGCAAGGGGCGAUUCAUUUGAAGGACUGUUCUGCUGUGUGAGAAGCCGAAAGCAGCGAGAAGCCCCCGUGCUCUCCUGACUUUUCCCUGAGUCCUGCGCUCCUGUAUCCCGCCGAUCCCACGAUCUCCAUUGUCCUGGACCUAGCCCUCACACUGAGAGACUGUUGCGAACAAAUUUAUAUUCCGGUUUCCCCCUACCCCACUGCCUGCUCAGCGUUUGUGGGAACCCUCUCGGCCACUCACUCGGAGAGGGGCGUGCCAGGCAGGGGCAGUGGGCAGCCUACCCUGCACCCAGUCUUCACGUGCACCUUUCCCAGACAUCCAUCUGGAUGAGAACUUUUUUCUUUUUUCUUUUUACCUCCAAAUGGCUUUAAACACACACACACACACACACACACACACACACACACACACACCAAAUACUCGCCUGUCAGAACUCCCAGUGCUAACUGAUGUUGGGAGCUGCCUUCUGCCACUUGAACAUUACUGAGCCCAGGGUAAUCAGAUGAUUAGGUGUUUUUAAUGGAAAUACUUAAUAGUAUUUUAAGGUUGAUCCUGAAUAACAGGGCGUUUACUAUACAAAAUAAAGCCUAGUGUUCUGUCUGCCAUUGGAGUGGAUCCUUUGACCUAUGGUGACACCUGUGAAUUUGUGUCUGGGCUGUAAACCCCCAAGGGUUACCUGGGCACCUGAAGAGGAAUCUUCCCUAAAAGCAGGCACUGGGCUCCUUCCCAGGACUGGGAGAGGGAUGCCUGAAAGGAAAACUUCUAGAAAAAAAUCUUAACUCUUAUUUUUUUAAUACAAAAGAAAAAAAAAAAGGAGGAGCACCAAAACCACAAUAUGAACAAUGAUGCUAAAUCCCAGGGCAGGAACUUGAUAAGUCAUACAUAUAUUUAGGACAGAUAUUUAAUAGCAAAGCAGUGUAAAAUAUAACACUAAAAUGUGACUGAUCCAUGUUGGAGAUCUUUGAUUUUUUAUUAAUAUUUUUAGAUUGAAGAUCUCUUGUACCUAUAGAUCUUCUGUAGAUACUUUAUCUGUGAUGAGGGUAGGCAAAAGAUUAAUUUUCCACCAGUUCACAUUGUAAUAAAUACUCAAAUUAGGAAAGAGGUGAGUCUACAACCAACUGUGAAAAUCUACUUUCUUGCAUCCUAAAACAAGAGCUAGCUGUGGUCGUGCUCAGGGGCUAUUGCCCCCCUCAAAAAAAUAAAUAAACAUACAAAAAGCAAAGAGCAUGUACCUCUGGGAGAGUGGAUGUGGCAAUCCGUGUGGUGGCUUUUCCCUGUUUUGAAUGCAAUUGCCAGUGACUCUUGCAUUCAAAGUCUUGCUUCAGGCUCCCAUUCAAAGCAUAGUUCAAAGCAGUUUAUCUUAAUAUAAGUAAAAGUCUAGUGUUGGACCAGGGUAUUAUUGGUUUCAGAUCUCUUCACACUAAAAAUAGGAGGCUGCAAUAUAUUUAACAAGGUAAAGCAGAAAAAAUGGUAUGAGGCAGGAUUUUGGUCCUCCUCAUACCUCCACCUCUACCUUUCCAAGGGAGCUCAAAGGCUGUGGGAUUGGAAGUUUAUUUGUGCUCUGAGGUUCUCAAACACUUUCACUGUUUAGAAAAAAGAAAGAGAAAGAAAAGAAAAAAGGCCUCACAGUACUUUAAGAAAUUGAGCCUGAACCAUCAGAGGCUAAGAGAUUUCUUCUUUUUCCGAUAACUGCCUGUGCUCAGCAUCCUCAGAUUUGGCUGUCUUUAUUUACUUCUAUAUUAGUUCCAAUUACGUGCAGUGUAAACCAGCUUUUUGAUUAACAAAACAGCAGAGCAUUGGUUAAGAACACUUAAACUUCAAAAAAAAAAUUCCCCUGGGAAGUGGGCUCUGAAUUGGUUAAUAAUGUGCAGUACUUGCUAAAUUGCUGACUUCCAGAUGUGGAAAAUAUCUUUCUUGUUUAGGACCUAUGUAACCUGAUUGGAUUACGACAGAAGCGUCACGUUGGAAGCUUUUGAGUGAUUAUUUAAUUAACCAUACAGUAGAAAGCUGUAUUCUCCAGGAAAUCCCUUCCAUAUUUGCAUAACCAAUCCCUUCAGAGCAAAGGUGGAGUCUUUUCUUUUUAAUUUUACUUUAAUUGCAAUAUCAAAAAAAUAUGCUCCAAAACUUAGACCCCAUGCCGUUUAAUAUCAUGCUCUCUCCCUUCCCUGCUAAGUUGUCUCUGGCCUUUCUCCUUUUUCUUCUUGUCUCCCUGUACAGACUCCUUCACUUUGUAGUGAGAUCUCGGUGAGAAGUACAGAGAUCCAGAGAUUGGUCAGCCCAGUGCUCUAAUUUACUUAGAGACCUUUUAUUAAAAUGCCAAAGUACUUUUUACUAUCGGGGAUCCAAUCCAGAAAUUCAUCACACACGUACACAUGCGCGCACACACACACACACACACACACUAACACAUGCCCUAAGAUGCAGUUCACAUGUAGCUUUUUUCCCCCAGCUCUAGCAUCUAAAAUAAAUAAAUAAAUAAAUAAAUACAUAAAUAAAUAAGAGAAAGAGCAAAGAAUUGAGCUCCAGAAGCCGUGCUGAGAUUGCCACACAACUUAAUGUGCAUCGCAAAUCUGGUCAUUAGAGAUAUGUGUCUAAGAAGAGGAGAUUUAGAGUGAGGACCCAGGAUCUUUGCCUUUAACUUUCGCCCCUUGGAGUUCUCCAGUUCUGUGAAUGGUGUGCA
RNAcentral lists this long non-coding RNA (3786 nucleotides) under Heterocephalus glaber (naked mole-rat). Its description in RNAcentral is "lncRNA (ENSHGLG00000043544.1)". The record is from RNAcentral. Lineage: Eukaryota; Metazoa; Chordata; Mammalia; Rodentia; Bathyergidae.